GAUGAACGCUGGCGGCGUGCCUAAUACAUGCGAGUCGAGCGAACAGACGAGGAGCUUGCUCCUCUGACGUUAGCGGCGGACGGGUGAGUAACACGUGGAUAACCUACCUAUAAGACUGGGAUAACUUCGGGAAACCGGAGCUAAUACCGGAUAAUAUAUUGAACCGCAUGGUUCAAUAGUGAAAGACGGUCUUGCUGUCACUUAUAGAUGGAUCCGCGCCGCAUUAGCUAGUUGGUAAGGUAACGGCUUACCAAGGCAACGAUGCGUAGCCGACCUGAGAGGGUGAUCGGCCACACUGGAACUGAGACCCGGUCCAGACUCCUACGGGAGGCAGCAGUAGGGAAUCUUCCGCAAUGGGCGAAAGCCUGACGGAGCAACGCCGCGUGAGUGAUGAAGGUCUUCGGAUCGUAAAACUCUGUUAUUAGGGAAGAACAAAUGUGUAAGUAACUAUGCACGUCUUGACGGUACCUAAUCAGAAAGCCACGGCUAACUACGUG
RNAcentral lists this ribosomal RNA (497 nucleotides) under uncultured bacterium. Its description in RNAcentral is "partial 16S ribosomal RNA". It matches the Rfam family "Bacterial small subunit ribosomal RNA", at positions 28 to 507 of the family's 1533-position model. The record is from RNAcentral.